This 381-nucleotide ribosomal RNA is filed under the name uncultured eukaryote. RNAcentral's name for it is "partial 18S ribosomal RNA". It matches the Rfam family "Eukaryotic small subunit ribosomal RNA", at positions 592 to 975 of the family's 1831-position model. The record is from RNAcentral.
CAAUAGCGUAUAUUAAAGUUGUUGCAGUUAAAAAGCUCGUAGUUGGACUUCUGCGGGUGGCGGCCGGUCGUGCUCGAAACGGGCGUGAACUUGGCGUGCUGCCCGCAUCUUUGGGGAGAUUGUGCGUGGCAUUAAGUUGUCGUGCAUGGGAUUCUCAUCAUUUACUGUGAAAAAAUUAGAGUGUUUAAAGCAGGCCUUUGCCUUGAAUACAUUAGCAUAAAAUAAUAAGAUAGGACCGUUGUCUAUUUUGUUGGUUUACAGAUGUCGGUAAUGAUUAAUAGGGAUAGUUGGGGGUAUUCGUAUUCAGUUGUCAGAGGUGAAAUUCUUGGAUUUUCGGAAGACGCACGACUGCGAAAGCAUUUACCAAGGAUGUUUUCAUUA